ACUCUAGUCGCCGACCGGAUUCGCUUCCUUCACGGUGGAAUCGAGCUCGGCAACCGUCUAGCCCGCCUCCGACCGCCGUCCUCCGCGCCUCAUCGCCAACCCGCUGCUCGAGCCCCUCUCCAUCCCCGCGCGCGUUUCCGUCUUGCUCGGGCCCGUCACCGACCCAUCCUUCGCCGUGCUACCGUGCACUGCCGCUCGACGCGACCGCCGCCGGCCGUGCUCCGGUCAGGCCCGCCGAUCGAGAAGCACCUAAAUCAACUCCCCGAGUCGCGCUGGUGCUGUAGGACCAAGUCCCGAGCCUAGCCAUCGCGAGCCUUCCACGCACAAGUUGGACGCCAUCCCCAUCGAUGCUUACCGAGACCUCUCGCCUUCCCUCCCCCGGCCUUCCCUUUUCCCCGUGCAAGCUCCUGAUCCUUGGUCCUGAUCUGUGCCGUACCUGUUCCAUUCAAGAUAAUAUCGAGCUCUAUUUUGUCUUUACAUUUUUUUUUGUGUAGUUGAUGCAAAAGUAAUUUCAUUUUGUUUCAGCUGGUAGCAUAUAGCUGAUGCAAAGUAAUCCUAGCCGUCGCGUGUCACCGGCCCGUGCCGCCCUCCCUCGAUCCGGUCUUCUAUCCUGGGCUCCAUACUUACAUCUCCCUGUGGUCCAAACUGAUGCGUAAAAUUCCACGAGUACGCUUCAGAAAUGCUGAAAAAGCUCCAACCUUAAUGUUUGACAGAAUGCUUUUUCCCCCUAUUGUUAAGGUGACCAAUGAGGUUACUCCAGGCUCCAGCACAACCAAUUUCAAGGCUUUGCCACUGUGUUAGGAAUAAUUGUUUUCUUUAUAGCAUUCCAAGAUAAUGUACUUUGGGCAUUGUGGGAGCCAGUAAUUAUUGAAACAAGCAAUACUCAUUGCUGCAUCAAUCGACAAGGAGGAGGAGACCUGACUAUUUCAAUCAUAUGAAGUUGCUGCCAUGCUUUCUUACAUGCGGACUCUCUGCCAAGUGCUCAAGAGAAUGCCUUAAUGCAAGGAUUGCAUGGAUCGAAACACUAAGAUAAUGUGUGGAUAACUACCCAAUGCUAUGUGUACAUAGCAUCCGAGCAAAAGCGCGGGGCACCAGCUAGUUUUAGUAAAAUUUCUCGCCAUCAGAUCCACACCAAGAUGGAUGCCUACCAGCAUGUGGGCUGCUUUCUCUUCCACUGCAUCAUAUUAUUUUCAUUCGUGCGCUUCAAUUUUGCUUUUCAGCACAGUUCAUGUUGUUGUUUUCAUUUUCCUUUUUUUGGCU
Long non-coding RNA from Phragmites australis (common reed), 1260 nucleotides. RefSeq lists it as uncharacterized. Lineage: Eukaryota; Viridiplantae; Streptophyta; Magnoliopsida; Poales; Poaceae. The record is from RefSeq and is a predicted model, not a curated record. The transcript has 6 exons.